RNAcentral lists this long non-coding RNA (212 nucleotides) under Elaeis guineensis (African oil palm). RNAcentral describes it as "long non-coding RNA (EGUI_LNC050090)". Lineage: Eukaryota; Viridiplantae; Streptophyta; Magnoliopsida; Arecales; Arecaceae. The record is from RNAcentral.
GAGACACUGGUAUGGCAUACAGGUGAGAUGUACUAGUACAUCAUCAUUGAACGUGACCAACUCCAGAGUAUUCUACUAUCGAGAAUGUCUUUGAUGGGAUAUAGGUAUAAGUGUCCCUUAGACUUGAGAUCACCUCAGUGACUUGCAAGCAACUCACUGUGCUUUGGUACUGGACUAACUGAAUUUCUAAUUCAGGGAUGGAAGGCUUCUGG